GGUUACCUUGUUACGACUUAGUCCCAAUCGCCAGUCCCACCUUCGACGGCUCCCUCCCACAAGGGGUUAGGCCACCGGCUUCGGGUGUUACCAACUUUCGUGACUUGACGGGCGGUGUGUACAAGGCCCGGGAACGUAUUCACCGCAGCGUUGCUGAUCUGCGAUUACUAGCGACUCCGACUUCAUGGGGUCGAGUUGCAGACCCCAAUCCGAACUGAGACCGGCUUUUUGGGAUUAGCUCCACCUCACAGUAUCGCAACCCUUUGUACCGGCCAUUGUAGCAUGCGUGAAGCCCAAGACAUAAGGGGCAUGAUGAUUUGACGUCGUCCCCACCUUCCUCCGAGUUGACCCCGGCAGUCUCCCAUGAGUCCCCACCAUCACGUGCUGGCAACAUGGAACGAGGGUUGCGCUCGUUGCGGGACUUAACCCAACAUCUCACGACACGAGCUGACGACAACCAUGCACCACCUGUGAACCGGCCCCAAAAGGAGAAACCACAUUUCUGCAGCGAUCCGGUCCAUGUCAAGCCUUGGUAAGGUUCUUCGCGUUGCAUCGAAUUAAUCCGCAUGCUCCGCCGCUUGUGCGGGCCCCCGUCAAUUCCUUUGAGUUUUAGCCUUGCGGCCGUACUCCCCAGGCGGGGCACUUAAUGCGUUAGCUACGGCGCGGAAAACGUGGAAUGUCCCCCACACCUAGUGCCCAACGUUUACGGCAUGGACUACCAGGGUAUCUAAUCCUGUUCGCUCCCCAUGCUUUCGCUCCUCAGCGUCAGUUAAUGCCCAGAGACCUGCCUUCGCCAUCGGUGUUCCUCCUGAUAUCUGCGCAUUUCACCGCUACACCAGGAAUUCCAGUCUCCCCUACAUCACUCUAGUCUGCCCGUACCCACC
Molecule: ribosomal RNA, 884 nt
Filed under: uncultured bacterium
Lineage: Bacteria
Description: partial 16S ribosomal RNA
Source: RNAcentral